CCCAUUUCAAUCAACAUCUAACAAUCCAACCUUCUCUGCUACAAAGAAAACACCUUAAACUUCUGAUAUCAAGAAACAAAAAUGGCGUUCAACACGAAGCUUCUUUUGGCCAUCUGCUGCGUCUCAUUGGUCUUCACUCUUGUCUCUGCAAACAUUUCCCAAGCAGAGAUCGAUGGCUUCCUCGAGGAGCACAACAAGGCUCGUAAAGAGGUCGGCAACAAACCCCUUAAGUGGAACACAACCUUGGCCCAGUAUGCCCAAGAAUAUGCCAACAAAAGAGUUGACGACUGCGCUAUGGAGCACUCAAGGGGGCGUUGGGGUGAGAACUUGACAUCGGGCGACGGCAUGACCGGAGCAGCUGGCACUAAAUAUUGGGUCACUGAGAAAGAGUUCUAUGACCCCAAGUCCAACAAAUGUGUCAAAGAGGAAUGUGGUCACUACCUUGCUGUGAUAUGGGGCAAAACCACUGAGGUCGGAUGUGGCAUUUCAAAGUGCAAGGAUGGGAAGAACUACAUCGUUUGCAGCUAUGAUCCCAUGUACCAACCCGAGGACGAGCGCCCAUACUAGAUGAUGUAUGUACGCACACUUACAUGAGGCCCGUUGAGAGGUCCCGUGUUUUUUUUUUUUUUUUUUUUUUUUCGAGCGCCCAUACUUGAUAUGGUAUUGUGAGAGGUGACAAGAGAAUGGAUAAAAAAUGAAAAGAAUAAUAUUAUUUCAUUUUUGUAAUUUCUAACUAAAUAUUAUCUCGUUCUCUUUAUUUUUUUCUUUUGUUUUUGCUCAAUCUCAAUUGUCUAAUGCCUCCCCAUCUCGCAUUUGUCUUUAAUUUAUUAAAAACAAUACGACAAAUGUGAUAUCAAAAGGAUGUUAAGUGUAUGUUUGGUAUUCUAUUUGAACAGUCCUGAUCUCUUGGACCCCUGUAGUCCAAGAGAUUUAUGGUCACUCACCGUUGGAUGUAAAUUCAACGGUUCACUCAUUUAUGACUUGAAUCGGGUAAUAAUCAUUUAUGUCAUAUUGCAUUUAUAUAUAUCAUUUUGAACCAUUGGAUUAAUAUCCAACGGUGGGUGACCACAAUCUCUUGGACUACAGGGGUCCAAGAGAUCACGCAAAUACUUAAAACCACGCAAAUACUUAAAACCUAAACAAAUCGUUUUUUUAAGAAUUUUUACUACAAACUGUUUUUAAUCUUAAAGUAUGGAUUUUAGAACUCCUUGUUUUUAAAGUUUGAAUUCCCUCCAUAAAUACCAAACAAGUUUUUGAAUCUUAAAAAUUUGAUUUUAGAACUCUUUGUUUUUAAGAAAAAUUAUAGUUUUUGAAUUUAAUACUUGAAUAGAUACCAAACGCCACAUGAGAUUUUCUUGUUCAUGGAUGCAUGUGUUUGCAUGCACCGUUUCUUUAAGUAUAUAUGAGAUUUUUUGAAUUGAGAUUUGUAGACCAAUUUGAUUGUGGGUUGUAUCAUAACUAGGGACGAUCCUUAGUAAAGAUUAACUUGGGCUAUAGCCCAUGUGUGGUUUUUUUUCUUAGCCCAACAUUUAUAUUACAACCCACUGAAGCCUACAAAUAAUACUUCUUUACACAUAAUUCACGUAAGGUAAAUUUAGUCCAUCUCAUUAUCUAUGUUUAUAAAGCAAAAGACAGAGAAUUGUGAAACAUUCAAAAUACCAAAAAAUACCCUUAGUUAAUUGACACAUUAAGAAUUGAAAUUAUUAAUUAAAUGAGGAUAAUACGGUAAAUUCACAUUUUUUUAUUAAAAAAAUUAAAAUUAAAAACAAAAUCAUAUAAUAUGUCAUACUUUUGUAGAACAAAACUAUCCAUGUUAUUUUUUUUUAUAUUAAAAAUAAAAUAAAAAAUAAAAAAGAAAACCAAUUGGUACACGCGUGAGCAUGUGCCAAGAGGCUAGUAAAUAUAACAAAUCUUGUAUGAUAUCUUAUACCAUUUCAAGUCAGAUUAGAACUUCAUAUGACUGGAAGCUAAAGUUUAAAAGAACACUUAUGGUAAAGGUUGAAAUGUCACCUAACUUUUUAUUCAAGAUCUCAAAGAAUUUUUGGAUUAAAACGCUUCGUCAAGAUUGUUGGUGCAGUGAUUAGAGGUAGGAACUUGGAUUGCUUUAUGUCAUUAUAGAUUUUGAAAAUUUGAAUGUGUUGGUUGUAAAUAUAUGUUAUCAAUUAUGUCUAUGUUUUUUUUCAUCUUCAAGUGAGGGAAGAAUCGAAUUUAAGAAUUCUUAUAUUGGAAAGAAAAAUACAACUAGACAAAAACCUAACCGGUUUAUCCAAAAUUUUAAUAAGGGACUAAUUAUCCGUUACUUUGGUAAGAAACAUAAGGCUAAACAACCGUCACUACUAGACAACGGUCUUAAAACAUCAAUCCUUGCAAGACCAUACUCAAAUUGAAGCUUGUAACCUUAGCUUUCUAUACAUAUAAAGAUAUGUGAAAACAGAGCUAUGGUUAGUGAGAAAUUCGAAUCCAAAGACAAACCCAAAAAUUUGAAUUUUCGUUUUCCAGCUUCCUCCGUUUGGGCAGUUUUGAAAACAUAACUUCACUCCAAUAUUUAAUCCCCCAAAACUUAAACAAAAUCAGUGAAGUCAAAAGGGUUUUGACCCUUGCUAUGCCUAGUUUCCAAAACAUGAAAAACCUUUCAAAAAUUCAUAAAUCCGAGGAACAUUAGAGCCACAGUAAGGCCCAUGAACUGAAAUUUCCAAAAAUAUACGAAGUUUCAGAAUUUUAUCAAGAGUCUCUUUCAACACCUCAGAUACCAUCCUUAAGACUCGAAAUCAUACUCCAACAUCAUUUCCUUGACCUAAGCUUCCCAAAAACAAGAUUUGGAUUUAAAGUUUGAACACCCAAACCCAAAAAAAUUUAAACACACCCAAAAUCCGAUAAUCUUGAUUUCAAAAUUCUUCUUUGAUUUUCUUAUGCCUCAGAAGGUUCAAAAAUCAUUCUCAAACUCAGUUACAACUAUAAAUCUACUCAAACAAUUAAUUAUACCAAAACUCAAGGAUUGCAAAUGAACUUAGAACAAGAGUCCCACCUUUCAUCCUUCCAAUUGUUUCAAUAUUUCCACUAUUUUCUUUUCUACCUCUCACAUUUGCUUUCUUAAUUCUCUCAUGGAUGUAAUAGUAAUAACAUCUCCCUUAUUUCCAAGUCUCCUCCUCCUCCUCCUCCUCCUGUUCUUCUUCUUCUUCUUCUUCUUCUUCUUCUUCUUCUUCUUCUUCUCUCUCUCUCUCUCUCUCUCUCUCUCUCACACACACACACACACACACACACACACCAGAAACUCACUUAGCUCUAAAAGAAAUCAGAUUCAUCAUAGGGGAAUCUUAGCCUCGGUGACUCACCCUCUAGUAGCCUUCCAACUCACACCUUAAGCUAAUGACUCACUUAUACCAACUCAUCCCCAAAAUGAUUAUUGAUUUGAAAACUUGAGGCAAUGGGGAAAGAAUGGGUGGAGAGUCGGCUGAUGCCCUCCACGUUUCAAUUUUUUCUUUUUUUGGGUCCACAAGGGUAUUUUGGUAAUUUUCACACAUACGGGUAUUUUUUGUCAUUUUGGCAAAAAAAUGUAGAAAUGAUUUCCCACGUGUUCAUUGAGUCGACUACUAUCGUCCUACCCAAGAAUCAGAAUGGUCUCACUUCAAUUUCGUAAAAAUGUCCUUUGAAAAAUUCACAAAAUGUUAUGUAAAGGCAUUUAUGUCCAACUUGAAAUUAAACACACUAAAUCCAGUAGUCUCAAUCCAAAAUUACUUGAUAAAAUACCCAUAAUCAUUCUCCACUAUAGUAUUAUUUUUCACCGAAAUAUGAAAGUCCACCCUUAAUUUUUCAGGGUAUUACAGAAAACUAGUGUAAUAACCCAAAACAAAAUAUUAAGAAAAUAACAAAAUAUCUAAAAAGUAGGAAUAAUAUCUUCUAGCGAAAAGACAAUUUUGCCCUCGCAUUAUUUAAUAGGGAAAAAGUUGACUUUUUGAUCGAGAAAGAAUUUGGCAAUUCUGCUUGCGCCGUUGCGUAGAGCACGGCGAAAGGAGUCUGUAGACACGGAGUAGACCCGAAUCGGAGUUGUAACGAAGAAGAUACGAUCAAAAUACUGCGAAGGGCAAAAUGAUAAUUUGGUCAAAAAGUCAGAUUUUUAUCUCUUCUCUCUCCUCUCUCCCGUCAGCUUUCUCUCUCCUCUCUCUCUCUCCCUCCCGCGCGACUCCAGUGACCUCUCUCCCUUCCGAUCGAGACAGCGGCCACCACAGGCCGUCUCGAUCUCCACCGUUAGUCCCAAUAGCUCCGCCACUCACCCGCCGUUCUUCCCCGACCAACCUCAGCCGCGGGGACGCCAGAAACUGACCGGAAUCUGCCAUUGUCUGCCGAUUUCCAAUUUAAACUUCCAGCUCGUUUUUCUCCUUCAAUUCUCCACCAAAUCGAUUGAUUAAGGUAUGAUCUCUCAGCUAUUUUUCAUGUUCUAGCUGAUGGAUGUAUGGGUUUCGAUCGAUUGUAGCUCUAACACGUUCGAUUUUCGACUUGAAAUUUGGCCGAAACUUCGGCAGCCGUGAUCUACUGUUUUCGAUCACUUUUUGAGGUAUGUCCAAGAACAAAAGUGCCUCCAAAUGGGGUGUUUUACCUAGGAUAGGAGUUUGGAGUCUUGGUUCCAAGAUUUUUCGACCACCCGAAAUUGCUUUGGACACCCGAAUCUGCCCGCGCGUGAGGCAGAACGUGGGAGAGGAUGGUGAAGUGACUCUAGACAGUUUUGAGAUCCUCGUGUCGUCACUAGCGCCUAAAAUUUUGCGGAUCUCGAUUCGGAGUCCGUUUGAGCCCCGAACGGAUUUUUCAUAUCGCGCGAUCUUCGGGCACUGUGCCUUUAAAUCGUUGGAUCGCACUGAAUUUCAGGAUCGUGUAAGAUUCGAAGGAUUGUGAAUCAGAGACCCGGAUACCCCGAAAUCGCGAACCCUGGGGCUAGGGUUUGAAUGUAAGGAACCUUCAGAGAAGCCCAGAUUGGCCAUCGGAGACCGUGGACCCACGUGGUUCUGGAUCGGCCGAUCUGGCAGCUUAUCGCUUAGUGAGGCUUCGGGUCUCUUGAGACCGUUCUAACUAUCUAAAAAGCUAAGGUGGGCAUACGAGUAACUUGAAAUGAGUGCACGUAUUUCUAGGAGCCGGGGGCAAUGUGUUUAAUUUAAAUUCUUUUUAUUUAGCAGAUUAUUAAUUUAAUAUUCAUGGUUAAUCAGGCACCAGAGGUCCGAUCGACCCACAUGAGGGACCUUCGAAGGGUUCAACUAGCUCGGACCACCAGUGAGUGGACUUUCUUUCAUGAAUGAUUUUAUAUAAAUGAGUUAUAUAAAUGAUUUAUAUAAAUAAGUUUACUUAAAUGAUUUUAUAUUGAUUUUAUAUAAAUAAGCUUUUAUAAAUUAGUUUAAUUGAAUAAGUUUUAUGAACUGUUUCUUUCAAGCAUGAUUUGUACUGUUAAGUAUUUUGAUCUACGUGAUGCUUAGUUACUGAAGCUCUAGUAAUAUAAAAAGCAGAGUUUGAGAACUUUACCAGAGGAGAUAGUAGUUAAGUUUCAGAUUUACUGAGAUGCAGUGAGUUAUUAGAUUUUUCUCAAAAUAGUUUAUUUUAAAACCACCGUGUAUCCGCCUUUUUAUUUGGUGAUUACCCUCAAACGGACCGAUGUCUACGGACAUCCAGUCUGUUUACAAUUUAGUCAGUGCACUUGACUUUGCCUCACGAGUUACGGGGACGCUCGGACCGUGAGUGCCAGGAUUUGCGGCUCGGCAGACUUGGUGUCCCGAGACCUGCCAGGAUUUGCGGCUCGGCUGACUUCGUGUCCCCGAGACCUGCCAGGAUUGCGGAUCAGGCUGACUACGGUCCCCUGUAUCUUGCUAGAGCGGCUCGAGUCGACUUGGUGUCAUCGAGACCUGCCGGUGGAUCAGGCUGAUCAUAGUCCCUGAUUUCGCCAGUUUGCAGCUCGGGUAGACUACGUGACGCCCAAGACCUGCCAGGGGAAUUGACGGAUAUGACAGGGGUACAAAUAGGUGGUAGUUUCAAUGGAUUUUGAGUUAUUUUAUCCAGUUAUGAUUUUCAGUUAUUUUAUACCAGUUUCUUUAAUAUUCGCGCAUUUAUAUCUUUAUAUAAUUGUUCAGUUUUACGAAUCUAUAUACGUACGAUUAUAUAUAUAUUUAGAUGAAUACUUUAUAUUAAACAUAGGUGAACUUUAGCUUUACUUAUCAAGUUAUUUUUAAACGGGGGUUAUUAUGGUUAUAAAUUGUUUUCAAGAACAUUAUUUUUGUCCACUCACAUUUUCAAUCGGUUUUUCGCCCCGAGGCCAUAGAAGUGCGAGGGAUUCCACCACCGGGCCAUUCAUAGCUUCCGCGCCACCAAAAGAGGUAGAGUUUUGUAGAAAAACCCUUGAAACCUUGUAAACUUUAGAAAAUGCUCUGAUAUCUAGUUUUAGUGGAAAACUGGAGCUGGUGAAUACUUGGUUAUUCAAUUCUGGCAGUUGGUGUAUAAUUAUUUGAUUGUUUGACAGGUGGAAAAAUUUGGGUUUGGUCAAAAUACAGGGGAGACUCUGCCGAAUUUUCGGCAGGAGUCCAAAGAAAAUUUUAAUAGUAAUUGUAGUAGGAAGGGUAAAAUAGUCAUUUGUGCCCGACAGUUGCCAGAUGUCGGACACGUACAGGGCUUGGUUCAAAUUCCAAAGUGGAAUUAGGAUCGGGUCCUGUCAAUUUGGUAUCAGAGCAUAGGUUUUACUUCCUGUAGACUUUGCACUUUGUGCAUCCUCGUUUUCUUUUCAAAUUGGGCCCAGAUGGUGGUGGUAUCCGUAGGAAAAUUAGACAGAUAUCUCGAUGUAAGGAGAUGAGAUUUCUAAGUUGGAUAGGAACUGCACCGGUAUCUGAACCGGUAGAGUAAUCUGUUGUUAGUGGCUCGUCAGGAGUCGUAUUUAUUGCACCUAGUAGACGGGGAGAUCCAAAUGUCCAGUAGAUCUUGGAGGUAUUAGCUCAGGUUUUAGUCAGCCAGAGAUCCAUACGUGAGAUGGGUGGAUCAAGUAAAAAGGAUUGAGAGCUAUAAAUUUGGAUAAUGGUGGUACCCAGUAGUAAAGGAGAAUUACAUUAAAGGAAUGUAGUAGAUCGUGGAAGUCAUGGUUGUUCCACUGAAGAAGAGAGUAUUGGCGGGAUUUGUUUAAGAAGUGAUACCAGGAUACUAAUACGCAACAAGUAUUUUAGAACCGAAUUUGAUAGUCAGUAUUAUCUACAAGUCUACAGAAGGUGUGGAUGCAAGAGUUUUUGCUGCAGAAUAGAGGAUAAUGACUGGAUCAGGAUAUGAGAAAAAGGUUUCACGUAUUGUUUCUACUAAUAGAGAUUGGAAAGUAAGAGGUAGUACCUAGUUGCGAUAAGGUUAAAAGCCUCCAUUCAAGAUAUUGUGAUUAGUUAGCAGUUGGUUAAUUUUGGUGUCGAGGUGAUGCCUGCCCCAGCCAGAUAAUGGGUAGACCAUGGGGUACGCUCUGCGCACAGUAUUUGGAUGAAGGUAAUACUAAACAGGAAGAAUUUAAGAGAGGUAAUUACAGUAGUGAUUACUGUUUCCAAUCAUCGAAUGGUCGCAGGUUUGGAGGUUGCCAACCUGGAUUUAGUUCCAGUGAAAGUACCAGUUAGGGUAAUAAUAUUGGAAAUCGUUCUGGGCUGGUGCAGCCAGGAGUAUUGGAAGACAAUUGUUGUCAGACUGUAACAGGAGAAGUUACCCUAAUGUGCCAGGUGUGGUAGGCAGUAUUCCGGGCCCUGCUAGAAGAGUACUACUGGAAGAUAAUAUUAUGGACAGUCUAAAUCUUUUCAAAAAAGGUUGCCGCUGUUCCCUUAGUAUAAAAAGAUUAUUUCUGCAAUGAAACAAGUAUGCAAGGUAAGUUAUAGGAAAUACCACAGUUGGUGAAGCUCUGUUUAGCAAUGGACCCAGAUCAGUAUGGCUAAUUGAGGAAGCAGUCAGCUGAAGGGAUGUAGUAACAGUUUUAAACCUGCAGAUAGAUAGUAUAACCUGACUCAGUAGGAAGCAUGAAUUGCUGCCAUUACAGAUUGAAUUUCCCUUCGGCAUGGUUAACUGGAGAUCAUCCUAGGAUUGGAUUGAUUUGGCCGGAUACCGUACCUCAAAGCUAUCUUUCAUUGGGGAAUCAAGUUUAUUCUUGAGCUCGUUCCAGGAAUGGAGCUUAUUUCUCGGGUAAAGUACAAAAUGACACCAGUAAGUUGAAGGAGUUAAAGACUAAAUUGCUGGAAUUGAUAGCAAGAAGGGUCAUUCAGCUUAGUUUGUUCCUCAUUGAAGUGUUCUAGUGUUAUUUAAGGAAGGAGAUAUCAUCAUGAAGUUAUGCAUGGACUCAGGGUAACUGGAUAAGAUGACGUCUAUGGUUUCACAGUAAGGAAUUGUUUAAUAAGCUAAAGAGUGCCAAGGGGUUUUCUGAAAAGUGACUUGAGGCUUGGAUAGCUCCAGUAACGAGUCAGAAAGGAAUAUGUACCAAAAACAGCGUGUUGAAUGAGGUAUGGGGACUCUGAGUUCCUGGUCAUACUAUAAAGAAUUUAAGGAUGUGCCAGUGGUAUUUUGGACCCCCCGUGAACAGAAUGUUCGGGCUGUAUUGAGAUCGCCUCAUGAUUAUGUAGCUAGAUAACCUUUGGGUGUAUUCUAAGAAACAGAAGGCAGAUGUGAAGUAUGUAAACAUUGGGUGGUGGACUCUGAGAAGGCAGUAACUUUAUGCCAAGCUCAGCAAGUGUGCGUGUUGGAGGGACAGAGUGAGUUUCUUGGGACACAUGAUUGCGGUUGAGAGUAUUUUGUUGAUCCUCAAGGAUUGAAGCAGUAGCGAAAUUCGUUACGACCAAUCAGUGCUACAAAGGUACAGAGUUUUCUAGAUAAGUCGAUUUUUACUGUCACCCUGUGGAAAGGUUAUUCACCAAGGCGACACCGCUCAUCUUUUUAGCAAAGAAAAAAAUUACAUGGGUGUGGUCAGACCAGUGAAGAGGAUGAUGUUAAACAUAAGAACAGGCCAAUUACUACUUCGAUUUCAGUACUGCAGGAGGUUAGUGGGAACUUGGUAUGCUACAGUAAUGUUUGUCAUAAGAAUUGAGGUUUGUGCUGAUACAGUAUGGUAAAAUGAGCACUUAUGUGAUUUAACAAUUGUGGAAGCAUAAAUCAAAGUAUUCUAUUCACUAUUUGGAACAGGCCACAGUAAUUUUGGCCUAACAGGUUGCUGACAGUAUUUUUAUGAGGAAAUAUGCCAGAUCUUUACAGAUCGCAAGAGGUUACAAAAUUUCUUUAUACAAAAGGAAGAAAACUUAAGACAGAGAAAAUUGUCAAAGGUUAUAGAUACACUCAGUAUGAAAUCCUCAGGAGAAGUGGCUUAUUUCCGAAGGAGAUAGAUUAUCAGCGAUAGUAGUACAAAAGUUGAGCUGGAUACAAAUAUUCAGGAAACACUGUUAAUUACUUGUCAGGAAAAAUCAGUGCUAAAGAACUCGGAUAUUCGCAGGUUAAUUCCAGGAUCUUGAUUUGAUUUUUAUGAGUAAAAGGGUUGAAUUACAUGACACGAGGAGCAAAGGUUUAAAAUGGAGAUCUUACAAGGAGUUUCUUAUGAUGAAAGGAACAGUAUAAAUUGUCAGCAAGGAAUAGCUCAGUGACAGGAAUCAACAAGGUUCUUGCAACCACUUCCAAAUUCUGAAGGAAGGCUAAAGUAACUUACGGUGGAUUUUGUGUUCAGCCUCCUUGAACAUAGAGGAAGCAGAGUGGAGUGUAGGAAAUUAAGGAUCGAUUCAGUAAGUCUGUGUAUGUUCUGCAGGUGAAAGCCAAGUAUAGUCUGAAUAAACUGGCAAGGAUUUUCACAGAUAAGAUCUUGCGACACUAUGGAAUACCAAUCCCUAUGGUUUAGAUCAAGAAAUCCAGGUUAUGUUCCAAUUGGACUCAGCUAAAGGAAGCUUUUGAAAAUUGAUUACAGUUUAAUACUACAAUUCACACUAGACAGAUGACCAGCUUAAGAAAAUGACUCAAACUGUAGAAAGGUUAUUAAGACAUGGUAUAUUACAGUUUCAGAAGGAUUUGGGUGAAAAGAUACCGGUUUGAGAGUGUGCCUUAAGUGAUAGUUGUCAGACUUCCUCGGAUUACAAAUCUAAAAUUAGCUAUUGGUAUCUAUAACUAAAAUGUUUCCAAUUGCUGCUUUAUACGAGACAUAGUAUGAACCACCCAAGUAUGAAGAUGAAAUGUUAAGCAAGGUUUAUUGAAAUCUGAAAGAGUUGAAGGAAACAAAGAACCUUAUUGAAUUAAGCAGAGAAAGACUCAAGCGACCCAGGAUUGGCAAGGAGUUAUGUAGAUACUAGAAGAAGGAGCUUCAGUUGGGUAUUCUUCAACAUUUAUUGCUUUAAGAAGGUGAAAUGAGAUUUAAGGAAGCAAGGGAGCCAAAUCCUAGCUAUAUCGGACCCAAUGAGAUUAUAGAAUGUGUGGGAAACAAGCAGUUCAGAUUUUGGAAUAGGAAGUGUCCAGCUUUCAGUGAUACAUGCUGUGUAAUGACCUGAGUUGCAGAUACAGGAGCAAUCCUUCCCCUCUUUGAAUGACAAGGAUGUAAAUUUCGAGGACGAAAUUUUUAUAAGGGGGGUAGAUUGUAAUAACCCAAAACAAAAUAUUAAGAAAAUAACAAAAUAUCUAAAAAGUAUGAAUAAUAUCUUCUAGCGAAAAGACAAUUUUGCACUCGCAUUAUUUAAUAGGGAAAAGUUGACUUUUUGAUCGAGAAAGAAUUUGGCAAUUCCGCUUGUGCCAUUGUGUAGAGCACGGCAAAAGGAGUCUGUAGACACGGAGUAGACCCGAAUCGGAGUUGUAACGAAGAAGAUACGAUCAAAAUACUGCGAAGGGCAAAACAGUAAUUUGGUCAAAAAGUCAGAUUUUUAUCUCUUCUCUCUGCUCUCUCCCAUCAGCUUUCUCUCUCCUCUCUCUCUCUCCCUCCCGCGCGACUCUAGUGACCUCUCUCCCUUCCGAUCGAGACAGGGGCCACCACAGGCCGUCUCGAUCUCCGUCGUUGGUCCCAAUAGCUCCGCCAAUCCCCCGCCGUUCUUCUCCGACCAACCUCAGCCGCGGGGACGCCGAAAACUGGCCGGAAUCUGCCAUUGUUUGCCGAUUUCCAGUUCACACUUCCAGCUCGUUUUUCUCCUUCAAUUCUCCACCAAAUCGAUCGAGUAAGGUAUGGUUUCUCAGCUAUUUUUCGUGUUCUAGCUUAUGGAUGUAUGAGUUUCGAUCGGUUUUAGCUCUAACACGUUCGAUUUUCAACUUGUAAUUUGGCCAAAACUUCGGCCGCCGUGAUCUACUGUUUCCGGUCACUUUUUGGGGUAUGUCCAAGAACAAAAGUGACUCCAAAUGGGGUAUUUUACCUAGGAUAAGAGUUUGGAGUCUUGGUUCGGAGAUUGUUCGACCACCCGAAAUUGCUUUGGACACCCGAAUCUGCCCACGCUUGAGGCAGCGCGUGGGCGAGGGUGGUGAAGUGACUCUGGACAAUUUUGAGAUCCUCGUGUCGUCACGAGCACGUAGGAUUUCACGGAUCUCGAUUCGGAGUCCGUUUGAGCCCCGAACGAAUUUUUCAUAUCGGGCGAUCCUUGGGUGCAGUGUCGUUAAAUCGUUGGAUCGCACUGAAUUUUGGAUAUGUCGGUCUACACGAUUUCAGGAUUGUGUAGGAUUCGAAUACUCCGAAAUUGUGAACCCUGGGGCUAGGGUUUGAAUUUAAAGGGAUAACGCAAUUUUGGCCAAUCCGACCGUUCGUUUCGGACCAAAUUCGCGGAACGUGGUUCCUUCUCUGUAAGGAACCUUCAGAGAAGCCCAGAUUGGCCAUCGGAGACCGUGGACCCACGGGGUCCCGGAUCGGCCGAUCUGGCAGCUUAUCGCUUAGUGAGGCUUCGGGUCUCUUGAGACCGUUCUAACUAUCUAAAAAGCUAAGGUGGGCAUAGGAGUAACUUGAAACGAGUGCACGUAUUUCUAGGAGCCGAGGGCAAGGUGUUUAAUUUAAAUUCUUUUUAUUCAGCAGAUUAUUAAUUUAAUAUUCAUGGUUAAUCAGGCACCAGAGGUCCGAUCGACCCACAGGAGGGACCUUUAAAGGGUUCAACUAGCUCGGACCACCAGUGAGUGGACUUUCUUUCAUGAAUGAUUUUAUAUAAAUGAUUUAUAUAAAUAAGUUUACUUAAAUAAUUUUAUAUUGAUUUUAUAUAAAUAAGCUUUUAUAAAUGAGUUUAAUUGAAUAAGUUUUAUGAACUGUUUCUUUCAAGCAUGAUUUGUACUGUUAAGUAUUUUGAUCUACGUGAUGCUUAGUUACUGAAGCUCUAGUAAUAUAAAAAGCAGAGUUUGAGAACUUUACCAGAGGAGAUAGUAGUUAAGUUUCAGAUUUACUAAGAUGCAAUGAGUUAUUAGAUUUUUCUCAAAAUAGUUUAUUUUAAAACCACCGUGUACCCGCCUUUUUAUUUGGUGAUUACCCUCAGACGGACCGAUGUCUACGGACAUCCAGUCUGUUUACAGUUCAGUCAGUGCACUUGACUUUGCCUCAUGAGUUUCGGGGACGCUCGGACCGUGAGUGCCAGGAUUUGCGGCUCGGCAGACUUGGUGUCCCGAGACCUGCCAGGAUUGCGGCUCGGCUGACUCUGUGUCCCCGAAACCUGCCAGGAUUGCGGAUCAGGCUGACUACGGUCCCCUGUAUCUUGCUAGAGCGGCUCGAGUCGACUUGGUGUCAUCAAGACCUGCCGGCGGAUCAGGCUGAUCAUAGUCCCCUGAUUUCGCCAGUUUGCGGCUCUGGUAGACUACGUGACACCCGAGACCUGCCAGGGGAAUUGACGGAUAUGACAGGGGUACAAAUAGGUGGUAGUUUCAAAGGAUUUUGAGUUAUUUUAUCCAGUUAUGAUUUUCAGUUAUUUUAUACCAGUUUCUUUAAUAUUCGCGCAUUUAUAUCUUUAUAUAAUUGUUCAGUUUUACGAAUCUAUAUACAUACGAUUAUAUAUAUAUUUAGAUGAAUACUUUAUAUUAAACACAGGUGAACUUUAGCUUUACUUAUCAAGUUAUUUUUAAAUGGGGGUUAUUAUGGUUAUAAAUUGUUUUCAAGAACAUUAUUUUUGUCCACUCACAUUUUCAACCUGUUUUUCGCCCCCAGGCCAUAGAAGUGCGAGGGAUUCCACAACCGGGCCAUUCAUAGCUUCCGCGCCACCAAAAGAGGUAGAGUUUUGUAGAAAAACCCUUGAAACCUUGUAAACUUUAGAAAAUGCUCUGAUAUCUAGUUUUAGUGGAAAACUGGAGCUGGUGAAUACUUGGUUAUUCAAUUCUAGCAGUUGGUGUAUAAUUAUUUGAUUGUUUGACAGGUGGAAAAAUUUGGGUUUGGUCAAAAUACAGGGGAGACUCUGCCGAAUUUUCGGCAGGAGUCCAAAGAAAAUUUUAAUAGUAAUUGUAGCAGGAAGGCUAAAAUGGUCAUUUGUGCCCGACAGUUGCCAGAUGUCGGACACGUACAGGGCUUGGUUCGAAUUCCAAAGUGGAAUUAGGAUCGGGUCCUGUCAACUAGCAUGAGUUUUUCAUCACCCCAACAAUGCCAAUUUGAUCUAGGCAACUAGAGCGGAUGAGCCAAAGUUCUUGCAAGAUCAAGAGAUGCAAAACACGAGAAACAUUUUCCUCUAUAUCCAUAAUUAAUUGAAAUAAUGUCACUUUGGGUCCUUGUGGUUUGCCCGAUUUGUUUACCUUCGUCCAUGUAAUUUUAAUUUUGUAAAAUUUAAUCAGUGUAAUUUGAUCCUAUCACAUGUAAUUUUAAUUUUAUCAAUUUAAUCAAUGUAGUAUGAUUCCAUUACAAUUCAAAGACAAAUCCAAAUUUCCAUCCAAAAUACUCCUCCACGUAUGAGCAAGUGUUUAUUCCAUCAAGAAAUCGGACGGAAAUUUGGAAAUGUCCUUUAAAUUGCAAUAAAAUCAAACUACAUAGGUCAAAUUGCUAGAAUUGAAACUAUACGGACAGACGUGGAAAUUUCAUCAAACCAGAUGAAAAGUGAGUUUUUGCCUAACUAAUUUGCUUCCUCUUUCAUUUCUUUAUAUUUUGGAAAGCAACAUAAUGCAUUUAACUUUUAUUUUAAAAAGCUACAAGAAGUUGACAGAGGGGCCAUAUAACAAAGUUCGUUUAUAUCGUUAACAAAGUCAAAACUUUGAUCCUCAAUGUACAGCUGAAUGUUUUAGUUAUUGCAGCUAAAAAUCCCCACCUCAUUAUAGGAUUCAAAUAAAACUUCACUUCAUCAAUGGUAUAGAUUGAUUGUCUGACAAUACAAUGUUUGUAAGGAUACCAAAUUCACUCAGUGACACAAUUCCACAUAGGUUUUAUCUGUUCUCCAUGCUUGUUUAUAGAACUUAACAAACCCUCCAAUUUUAGGAUCCUAUAUUUAACCCUCCAAACUAUAUAAAUAUGAACAAUCUCAUUUCCCAUUUCAAUCAACAUCUAACAAUCCAACCUUCUCUGCUACAAAGAAAACACCUUAAACAUCUGAUAUCAAGAAACAAAAAUGGCGUUCAACACGAAGCUUCUUUUGGCCGUCUGCUGUGCCGCAUUGGUCUUCACUCUUGUCUCUGCAAACAUUUCCCAAGCAGAGAUCGAUGGCUUCCUCGAGGAGCACAACAAGGCUCGUAAAGAGGUCGGCAACAAACCCCUUAAGUGGAACACAACCUUGGCCCAAUAUGCCCAAGAAUAUGCCAACAAAAGAGUUGACGAUUGUGCUAUGGAGCACUCAAGAGGGCGUUGGGGUGAGAACUUGACCUCGGGCGACGGCAUGACCGGCGCUGCUGGCACUAAAUAUUGGGUCACCGAGAAAGAGUUCUAUGACCCCAAGUCCAACAAAUGUGUCAAAGAGGAAUGUGGUCACUACCUUGCUGUGAUCUGGGGCAAAACCACCGAGGUCGGAUGUGGCAUUUCAAAGUGCAAGGAUGGAAAGAACUACAUUGUUUGCAGCUACGAUCCCAUGUACCAGCCCGAGGACGAGCGUCCAUACUAGACGAUGUAUGUAUGCACACUUACAUGAGGCCUGUUGAGAGGUCCCGUGUUUUUUUUUUCUUUUGCUAUCGCACAUACUUGAUAUGGUAUUGUGAGAGGUGACAAGAGAAUGGAUAAAAAAUGAAAAGAAUAAUACUAGUUCAUUUUUGUAAUUUCUAACUGAAUAUUAUCUCAUUCUCCUUAUGUUUUUUUUUUUUUUGUGCUCAAUCUCAAUCAUCUAAUCCCUCCCAAUCUCGUAUUUGUCUUUAAUUUUUUUUUAUUUUUAAAUAUGACAAAUGUGAUAUCAAAAGGAUGUUAAGUGUAUGUUUGGUAUUCUAUUUGAAUUCAACUUUUUAAACUACAAACAAAUAAAUUGAGUCCAAAAUUCAAAAAAUAUGUUUCGUAUACCAAGUUACUCAAAACCACGCAAAUACUUAAAGCCCAAACAAAUCGGUUUUUUAAGACUUUUUACUACAAACUGUUUUUAAUCUUAAAGUAUGGAUUUUAGAACUCCUUGUUUUUAAAGUUUGAGUUCCCUCCUUGGAUACCAAACAAGUUUUUGAAUCUCA
RNAcentral lists this long non-coding RNA (15507 nucleotides) under Prunus dulcis (almond). RNAcentral's name for it is "sRNA ncRNA". The record is from RNAcentral. Lineage: Eukaryota; Viridiplantae; Streptophyta; Magnoliopsida; Rosales; Rosaceae.